GGGGACGUUUUGGAUUUGACAGGGCGUUUUGGUGAAAAUAUGCAGCGUGUCGGAGAGCUGUUCUCCGUUAUCAACGGGCAAAACAAAUUAAAUGCUGACAAUGUAAUUAAAGCAGACUUCUCAAGAGCAGUUGCAAAAGCUGCCUAGUUUGUUAAACAGCUACUCAUAGAAUCCAUCUUGCCGAUUUUAUGGGUCAAUUAUGCAAGACGCAGUACGUUGAUACAGAGUAGACGUAUCAAGAUAGCUCUGUAAGGUUUAGAGUUUCCUUUAAAUAAAACCUUGGAUUAGUUUAUAAGGUUUAGACGUUUCCCCGAACUAAUCGAGAUAAAAAUUGCCUACACACGUAGAAGUAUAUUUUUUCCCGUUUUGGACAGGGGUUCGACUCCCCUCGUCUCCA
RNAcentral lists this transfer-messenger RNA (397 nucleotides) under bovine gut metagenome. It matches the Rfam family "transfer-messenger RNA". Rfam says of the family: Bacterial tmRNA, also known as 10Sa RNA or SsrA, is named for its dual tRNA and mRNA-like properties. Its role is to liberate the mRNA from a stalled ribosome. To accomplish this part of the tmRNA is used as a reading frame that ends in a translation stop signal. The record is from RNAcentral.